Molecule: ribosomal RNA, 230 nt
Filed under: uncultured bacterium
Lineage: Bacteria
Description: partial 16S ribosomal RNA
Rfam family: Bacterial small subunit ribosomal RNA
Source: RNAcentral
UACGAAGGGGGCUAGCGUUGUUCGGAAUCACUGGGCGUAAAGCGCACGUAGGCGGAUUGUUAAGUCGGGGGUGAAAUCCUGAGGCUCAACCUCAGAACUGCCUUCGAUACUGGCAAUCUCGAGUCCGGAAGGAGGUUGGUGGAACAGCUAGUGUAGAGGUGAAAAUUCGUAGAUAUUAGCUAGAACACCAGUGGCGGAAAGGCGGCCCAACUGGGUCCCGGUUACUGGAA